Ruditapes philippinarum (Manila clam) is the source of this 1652-nucleotide long non-coding RNA. RefSeq lists it as uncharacterized. The transcript is spliced from 3 exons. Lineage: Eukaryota; Metazoa; Mollusca; Bivalvia; Venerida; Veneridae. The record is from RefSeq and is a predicted model, not a curated record.
ACAGCUCAAACCAGCAGUUUGUUAUAACAGCAAAAAGUAAUGAAGUUUCAGCAAUGAAGUCUUCAUGAUGAUGAUAAUGGUGAUCCUAUUUAUAGAUUCUUUACAAUUAUCUGUAAGAAAGAGGUUUCUGCUGCAGAGAAGAAAAAAAAUUGAUACAGUAAGAAGUUGCCCACUCUGUUCAAAUGAAGCUGUCUGAAGUACCCAGUAGGACAAUAUAUUAUUUCUGGAACAACUUAAUUGAAGUGAAGCUUACUAUGUGAAGAAGUUAUUUCUGUAUGCAAAAGGAAACUUCAGCAUACAGAAUACCAAUUGAGAUAUUUGUAGCUUCAGUUAUGGGAGAACACAAGAUUAAUUGAACUGGAAUCCCUUCAGACGUUGACAGCUAAAUUCCGCAGUUUCAACUAUAAAUGGACAUUAAAUUAAUAUACAUUGGUUUUAUUUUAUACAUGUAUUUGUUAAUAUUUUUGUUUUCCAUUAUUUCCCAAUAUUGUUAAUUUUGGAUAAUAUAAUGCCACAGAAAACUUGUCGGUCUUGGAGUAUGGCUGUUUAACAAAAACACUCCAGAUUGUUCGUCAGAACAAUGAAAUUACAGUUUUGCUUGUUAAUUUACUAAUUUACAUAAAUAUAUAAUUUUUGUAAGCAUGAAGAAAUUUGGAACAUAUCAUAUAAUGAGUAUUUGUUUCUUUUGCAUGCAAGAUCCAAAUAUAUUUCAUAGAGUGAACAGCAGAUUUAAUAUUUUCAUGAAUGGCAUUGAAAAACAUAUACAAUGUAUAACUUUGCCACAAAGUUGGUAAAUUGAGGCUGCUAUUUUACUGUGACUGAAAGUAGUUCAGAUAUGACGCCUUAUUAUGUCCGAGAUCUAUAGCCCAUCAUACAAGCCAAAGAGAGCAGAUUGUUUUAUCUGUGUAGAAUCAUUAAUUUUCAAUGUUCAUAUUUGAAAGUGAUUCUGUCAUAUUUCCUGAAUUUCCUUCAUGAUUUGCAAAUAUUAAUUUUCUACUCUUUAUUUAUCACAUUUUUCUGAGAAAUAAAUGUAUUUCCCACAAAAGUUCUGUUUGUUUAUAGGCUUUUCAUCCUCAUUCAAAUAAAGUCUGGCUUCUUUUGAAAUUAUACUUUAUUGUCAAAUAAUCUAAAAGUAAUGUCAUUUCUUACUGAAAAGCAUGUUUUAAGUUAUGGUGUUCAAUUGAUUUCUGCAGGACAACUUAUGAAGGAAAUGAAGUGUGUUGAUAAUUGCCAUGUUAGUAUCAAAAGACAGAUUUAGUUCAAUUUUGGCCACAAUAAAUUAUUUUUGAUGCAGUUAUGCCCCUUUUUAGCUCGACUUUUUCUUUUAAAAAAUAGAGGUAUUGUUACAGUCAUGUUGGCAUUGCCGAGGUCAUCCACAAACUUGUACUUUGAUCAUUACUUUUUAGCUCACUUGAGCACAACGUGCUCAUGGUGAACUAUUGUGAUCCCCCACCAUCAGUUGUCAUGGGUCGUCAAAAAUGUCUUUAAACAAAUCUCCUCAGAAACCAAAGACUGCACAGUAACCAAACUUUGCAGGAAUGACCCUACAGUUAGUGCCCUUUGAAACUUUUGUCCAGUGCCUAACUUGAAAACUAGUAGUUGGAAUUCAAAACAACUUCAUACAAUGGUCAAGCAAAAUAAGAGAAAGUGCA